ACACGUGAGCAAUCUGCCCCUGACUCUGGGAUAAGCGCUGGAAACGGCGUCUAAUACCGGAUACGAGCUGCGACCGCAUGGUCAGUAGCUGGAAAGAAUUUCGGUCAGGGAUGAGCUCGCGGCCUAUCAGCUUGUUGGUGAGGUAAUGGCUCACCAAGGCGUCGACGGGUAGCCGGCCUGAGAGGGUGACCGGCCACACUGGGACUGAGACACGGCCCAGACUCCUACGGGAGGCAGCAGUGGGGAAUAUUGCACAAUGGGCGAAAGCCUGAUGCAGCAACGCCGCGUGAGGGAUGACGGCCUUCGGGUUGUAAACCUCUUUUAGCAGGGAAGAAGCGAAAGUGACGGUACCUGCAGAAAAAGCGCCGGCUAACUACGUGCCAGCAGCCGCGGUAAUACGUAGGGCGCAAGCGUUAUCCGGAAUUAUUGGGCGUAAAGAGCUCGUAGGCGGUCUGUCGCGUCUGCUGUGAAAACCCGAGGCUCAACCUCGGGCCUGCAGUGGGUACGGGCAGACUAGAGUGCGGUAGGGGAGAUUGGAAUUCCUGGUGUAGCGGUGGAAUGCGCAGAUAUCAGGAGGAACACCGAUGGCGAAGGCAGAUCUCUGGGCCGUAACUGACGCUGAGGAGCGAAAGGGUGGGGAGCAAACAGGCUUAGAUACCCUGGUAGUCCACCCCGUAAACGUUGGGAACUAGUUGUGGGGUCCAUUCCACGGAUUCCGUGACGCAGCUAACGCAUUAAGUUCCCCGCCUGGGGAGUACGGCCGCAAGGCUAAAACUCAAAGGAAUUGACGGGGACCCGCACAAGCGGCGGAGCAUGCGGAUUAAUUCGAUGCAACGCGAAGAACCUUACCAAGGCUUGACAUAUAGAGGAAACGUCUGGAAACAGUCGCCCCGCAAGGUCUCUAUACAGGUGGUGCAUGGUUGUCGUCAGCUCGUGUCGUGAGAUGUUGGGUUAAGUCCCGCAACGAGCGCAACCCUCGUUCUAUGUUGCCAGCACGUAAUGGUGGGAACUCAUGGGAUACUGCCGGGGUCAACUCGGAGGAAGGUGGGGAUGACGUCAAAUCAUCAUGCCCCUUAUGUCUUGGGCUUCACGCAUUCUACAAUGGCCGGUACAAAGGGCUGCAAUACCGUGAGGUGGAGCGAAUCCCAAAAAGCCGGUCCCAGUUCGGAUUGAGGUCUGCAACUCGACCUCAUGAAGUCGGAGUCGCUAGUAAUCGCAGAUCAGCAACGCUGCGGUGAAUACGUUCCCGGGUCUUGUACACACCGCCCGUCAAGUCAUGAAAGUCGGUAACACCUGAAGCC
Molecule: ribosomal RNA, 1301 nt
Filed under: Microbacterium arborescens
Lineage: Bacteria; Bacillati; Actinomycetota; Actinomycetes; Micrococcales; Microbacteriaceae
Description: bacterial SSU rRNA
Rfam family: Bacterial small subunit ribosomal RNA
Source: RNAcentral